AGCACUUGUUUUGUGUUAAGUACUCGUAUGCGAUUUCUGAUCCUUGUAUUAUUACUUUUCUUACUGUCAAUUCAUAGAUGAGAGAACUCAGAGAGGUUGAGUGACUAGUUGAAGGUGAAAGAGCUAGAGAUGGAAUUUGAGCAUGACUGUCUAACUCAAGAACCCGAGCUCUUUUCACUACCUCAUGUUUCAGUGACAAAAGAACCCAUGGAAUAGAAUUCCUCAGGCAAAUGUUGAGAAUUCAAACAUGGAUGCCACCUGAAGAGAGGCCCUUUAUUUGGGGAUGGGCCAAGGAAUGGUCCUGGCAGUGCCAAAACUCUCCUGUCAAGUUUGGUUGUGUUCCAACACAUGGAUGAGUGGAAGAGCCCCAACAUUCUGCAUCGAUAGAACAGUAUGGUAACUGUUUAUUGUUGAUUGUUCUGUGAUGGUGGAAGGCCUCUACUCCAUGCAGUUCUUCAGGAAACCAAGCUGAUGGAAGCUCUGCUGUCUUCAACUAGUUGUUCUGGUCAUCUUUGACACCAAUCAACCUUUGGGGAGUGGGGGAUUGCAUGGAAGGUCUCUGGAGGUUUUGCCAGUCUAGCCCAACAGUGGCAUAUAUCAUUUCCACCAGAAAGAACAUAGUCAUUUAGCUACCUAACUGCAAAGAAGUCUAGAAAUCAUGGAAGAAAAGGAGAAUGGAUUUUAAUGGACAAUUAGCAGUCUCUGACAUGAAAUCUGGGAAAGACAAAAUAGUGAUAAAAUGGCAAAUGAGUACCUGCUCUGGUGGAGGGUGGAAAUAAUUUUUUUUAAAUGUAUUUAGAAAGUCAGAGAAGGUAAAACUCAGUGUGGAACAAAGUCAUUGGGAAGAGUAUCACUCAAGAGAUGGAAGAGAUGGAAGAUGGGGCAGAAGAUAAACUGGAUAAAUGAAGACAAAAGAAAUAUAAAUGACUCAAUAAACACAUAUGGAUGCACUGUAUUUUGGAGAAAGAAUAUGUUUGCAAAGCUUUUAAAAUUAAAUCUUCAUGAGAAUGUAGGAGUAAAUGCCAGAUGAAUUCGUGAGUACCUAGUUUAAUGAU
Molecule: long non-coding RNA, 1055 nt
Filed under: Vulpes vulpes (red fox)
Lineage: Eukaryota; Metazoa; Chordata; Mammalia; Carnivora; Canidae
Description: lncRNA (ENSVVUG00000009204.1)
Source: RNAcentral